RNAcentral lists this long non-coding RNA (227 nucleotides) under Carica papaya (papaya). RNAcentral's name for it is "long non-coding RNA (CPAP_LNC001868)". The record is from RNAcentral. Lineage: Eukaryota; Viridiplantae; Streptophyta; Magnoliopsida; Brassicales; Caricaceae.
ACUCCGCCGUGCUCUAGCGACGGCGCCGCCGCCCGCGGCGGUGAUCUGCCUCAGGUUGGCUGUUUUCGGCCGAAUUCAGCCAAACUUGCAUCCGUUCCUAUGAGAAGAUACACUUAGGGCCCUCGGUGGGCCCAAAGAAACGUAAAAAAUUGAAACUCACCAGUGGUGGGGCUCUCCAGUGCGGCGGCUCCUCCGGUGUGGCGACUCCUCCGGCUCACGUUACGGUU